Molecule: ribosomal RNA, 402 nt
Filed under: uncultured bacterium
Lineage: Bacteria
Description: partial 16S ribosomal RNA
Rfam family: Bacterial small subunit ribosomal RNA
Source: RNAcentral
AAUAUUGGUCAAUGGGGGAAACCCUGAACCAGCAAGGCCGCGAGAAGGAAGAAGGCUNNNGGGUUNACAACUCCUUUGACAGGNGAANAAAAAAAUGACGGACCACUGAAAACAAGCCACGGCAACCUCAGUUCCUGCAGUCGCGGUAACACGUAGGUUGCAAGCGUGAUCCGGAUUUACUGGGUGUAAAGGGCGCGUAGGCGGGCAUGUAAGUCAGAUGUGAAAUUUAUGGGCUUAACCCAUAACCUGCAUUUGAAACUGCGUGUCUUGAGUGAUGGAGAGGUAAGUGGAAUUCCUAGUGUAGCGGUGGAAUGCGUAGAUAUUAGGAGGAACACCAGUGGCGAAGGCGACUUACUGGACAUUAACUGACGCUGAGGCGCGAAAGCGUGGGGAGCAAACAGG